This 1440-nucleotide ribosomal RNA is filed under the name Streptomyces phaeochromogenes. RNAcentral describes it as "16S ribosomal RNA". It matches the Rfam family "Bacterial small subunit ribosomal RNA". The record is from RNAcentral. Lineage: Bacteria; Bacillati; Actinomycetota; Actinomycetes; Kitasatosporales; Streptomycetaceae.
ACACAUGCAAGUCGAACGAUGAAGCCCUUCGGGGUGGAUUAGUGGCGAACGGGUGAGUAACACGUGGGCAAUCUGCCCUUCACUCUGGGACAAGCCCUGGAAACGGGGUCUAAUACCGGAUAACACUCGCCGAGGCAUCUCGGUGGGUUGAAAGCUCCGGCGGUGAAGGAUGAGCCCGCGGCCUAUCAGCUUGUUGGUGAGGUAGAAGCUCACCAAGGCGACGACGGGUAGCCGGCCUGAGAGGGCGACCGGCCACACUGGGACUGAGACACGGCCCAGACUCCUACGGGAGGCAGCAGUGGGGAAUAUUGCACAAUGGGCGAAAGCCUGAUGCAGCGACGCCGCGUGAGGGAUGACGGCCUUCGGGUUGUAAACCUCUUUCAGCAGGGAAGAAGCGAAAGUGACGGUACCUGCAGAAGAAGCGCCGGCUAACUACGUGCCAGCAGCCGCGGUAAUACGUAGGGCGCAAGCGUUGUCCGGAAUUAUUGGGCGUAAAGAGCUCGUAGGCGGUCUGUCACGUCGGAUGUGAAAGCCCGGGGCUUAACCCCGGGUCUGCAUUCGAUACGGGCAGACUAGAGUGUGGUAGGGGAGAUCGGAAUUCCUGGUGUAGCGGUGAAAUGCGCAGAUAUCAGGAGGAACACCGGUGGCGAAGGCGGAUCUCUGGGCCAUUACUGACGCUGAGGAGCGAAAGCGUGGGGAGCGAACAGGAUUAGAUACCCUGGUAGUCCACGCCGUAAACGGUGGGAACUAGGUGUUGGCGACAUUCCACGUCGUCGGUGCCGCAGCUAACGCAUUAAGUUCCCCGCCUGGGGAGUACGGCCGCAAGGCUAAAACUCAAAGGAAUUGACGGGGGCCCGCACAAGCAGCGGAGCAUGUGGCUUAAUUCGACGCAACGCGAAGAACCUUACCAAGGCUUGACAUCGCCCGGAAAGCAUCAGAGAUGGUGCCCCCCUUGUGGUCGGGUGACAGGUGGUGCAUGGCUGUCGUCAGCUCGUGUCGUGAGAUGUUGGGUUAAGUCCCGCAACGAGCGCAACCCUUGUUCUGUGUUGCCAGCAUGCCCUUCGGGGUGAUGGGGACUCACAGGAGACUGCCGGGGUCAACUCGGAGGAAGGUGGGGACGACGUCAAGUCAUCAUGCCCCUUAUGUCUUGGGCUGCACACGUGCUACAAUGGCAGGUACAAUGAGCUGCGAUGUCGCAAGGCGGAGCGAAUCUCAAAAAGCCUGUCUCAGUUCGGAUUGGGGUCUGCAACUCGACCCCAUGAAGUCGGAGUUGCUAGUAAUCGCAGAUCAGCAUUGCUGCGGUGAAUACGUUCCCGGGCCUUGUACACACCGCCCGUCACGUCACGAAAGUCGGUAACACCCGAAGCCGGUGGCCCAACCCCCUUGUGGGGAGGGAGCUGUCGAAGGUGGGACUGGCGAUUGGGACGAAGUCGUAACAAG